CAGCCGCCGCGGUAAUACGAAGGGUGCAAGCGUUAAUCGGAAUUACCGGGCGUAAAGCGUGCGUAGGCGGUGAGUUAAGUCUGCUGUGAAAUCCCCGGGCUCAACCUGGGAAUGGCAGUGGAUACUGGCUCGCUAGAGUGUGUCAGAGGAUGGUGGAAUUCCCGGUGUAGCGGUGAAAUGCGUAGAGAUCGGGAGGAACAUCAGUGGCGAAGGCGGCCAUCUGGGACAACACUGACGCUGAGGCACGAAAGCGUGGGGAGCAAACAGGAUUAGAUACCCGCGUAGUCCCUGUCUCUUAUAA
Molecule: ribosomal RNA, 301 nt
Filed under: uncultured bacterium
Lineage: Bacteria
Description: partial 16S ribosomal RNA
Rfam family: Bacterial small subunit ribosomal RNA
Source: RNAcentral